GCCGCGGCGCCUCGCCCACCACUCUCUCUCCCUCUCCCCCCUAUUCCCCCACGACGUCGUGACUACCUCCACUACGAUCCUUCCCCUGCUUAUGGAGAUGACAGUUCCAAGCAUACUCCAACAUCUCUCUCCCUACACGCACAACUAGCCAUGGCCGCGCGGCCACUGCAACCCGUGCGAGCACACCCUGCGAUGCACGAGUGUUGCUCUGCACAACCGCUCGACGGUCGUCCCCCAGAGCUUCCCCAUGAUGCGCGUCGUGAAGCCCCUCGACGAAGACCCUAGGAACACCUGCAGGGGUCGGCCAUCGUGCACAGGUGAGAACCCACUCCUCUCUCUCCCUCGUCCCGCCGGCGUCGUCCCUCCGCUCGCGUGCCCUUUCUCGGCGCGAGCGCGUCCCUGCGCAGCGGAGCUGGGUGGCCGUGCUCCAGCCCCUCCUCCCCUCACCUAGCCCUGAGCGCGGUAGCCUCUUGCAGGCCCCCUCGCGCGGCGCCACCGCCGCGCAGUGCCCAUGCCCCUCGCGGCCAGUCCACAGCGGUGCCCCGGCCAACCCCCUGGCCAGCAGCGGCGUAGCGCCCAUCCCAACAGCGAGCAACCGCCAGCCAUGCACGCCGACUUCUUGCUGCCAUUACCCCGCCCCGCGUGACGUCCAACUCCAGCCGGUGUUGCGUCGCCUUGCCGCAUGAUGCGCGUGCCGUCGUGCUCGUGAAGAAAAGCAAACCGUCCGUGUGACCGUGUGCGAGUAUGUAGGCUAGGAGAAAAGAACGGACGUUGGGCCUCACAAACAUGCAUGUGCAGGCAGCGUUCCUCCAUGAUUUUCCUGCAUGCGUACAGAUUCUAGAGCCAAAACGAAAUUGCCGAUCCCUUGGAUAUCGUAUUUCCCUCCCCAGCCAGGCUGCAUGCCAGAGAAAUAAUCCUUAAGGAUUCUCUGUGCCCCAAAUUUGUGGCCCUAGGUGUGGCUUGUUUCGACCAAUAAAAAUGUGCCACGUCGUUAUUAAUCUGCGAUUAGUUAAAAAUAUAUUAACUUUUGCGUUAGACAUCUGAAUUAAUAUGUUUCUAUUGAGUUAGCUUCGUAAUAAUAUCAUGCACACAUUAAACAUAUUAUCUUGUCAUAACGUAUGUUUGUUUUACUUAAUUGUAAGUUGGUCUGUUGGUUAUUAACAUAGCAAUUUAGUUAAAACUAUUUUAUGGUUUUAAGUUACGCUUUUAUAAAUAUAUGUUAAAAUGAUUAAUACCAACUCAAAUAAGUACUAAUUUAAUUAUUACCAACUUAAACGUUUGGAUUCGAUACUGGUUUAGUAUAAAUAUGUCAUCUAUUUAGUUUUUCUCGCCUGUCGCGCGUGCGGUUCCGCACUCGGUGGCGUGCUGUUUCGCGCAUCGUUCUCUCUAGUCGCGCGUACUGUCUCGUGCGUUGUUUUGCGCAGUGUCGCGCGUCCUCACACGUCAUUCUCGUGUGCCGCACAUGCCAUUUUUCGCGUGCGUCGCGCAUGCCCUUUUCGCGUCGCGCACCUUGUCGUGCGUCGCCACGCGUCAUUUGCGCAUGACGCACGCGUCGUUUUUGCGUGUAGUGCACAUUGCCGCACGUUGUUCACGCAUGUCACGCGUGUCCGUGCGUCGUUCGCACGCUGUCGUGCUGUUUCGCGCGUCGUAAAUUUGCCUCACUUAGAUUCUCUCGUUUUAAUUAAAUUAUUUACUUAACUGACAUUGGUUAGUGUAGCAGAUUAAUCAAGCUAAAUGAUAGAUAUUAUUUAUAUUUGAUAACGUCGAAUUAAAUACUAUAGUUAAUACUUGUUUAGCGUAAACGCGCUAACCCCUCGACCGUAGCUCUUACUUUCGUGUUUCUUAUCCUCGCAUAACUGUAGGAGCGCUCUCUAUUUUAUAUUGCUCGCUUUUAUAACAUUUUAUCUUGUAUGGUGUAAUGUUCUUAUGCAUAUGUAUAUAUUUGUUUGCUUGUGCCUGUUCAUCUUCGCUUCGCGUUGCGAUUAGAUCGUGAUUCGUUUCUGAGCUUCGAGGAAUCGACGGUCAAGCUUCAACGACCAAAUGACCUAGUUCUUCGAGUUCCUCGAGAUUGAAGACCCUGAACAUAUGUUUGGUGAAGGCAAGUGUCCCUUGACCUAUCUCUGUCCUAUACAUUCUUUAAUUCACCUCCCGCAUUACACAGUUAUACCUAAGGAUUUACUAGCUUUUGUUAUCCAUGUCCUUGUUUACCUAUCUGGGUUGGAUUAUUAUUGUUUAGCUUUAUGCUAUUGCUCAGCUCUAAUCAAUGAACAUGAUGAGAUUUAUCAAUGAUACGUUGUUUCCCCCCCUUUAUUAUGAUGUUAUACUUGUGACCUUCAAGGGGGCUCGAGCGGUUUCUCGAGUGCCUCUCCGUAAGGACCUGUUCGUUGGAUGACCGCCCAGAAAAACAGUGCAACCAUGAGGGUGGAAUGGGAUGCCCUUAGCUAAAUAAUUAGAGGAACCGGGGUGUAGCUCGCUUAGCCAUCGUGCCGUCAAUGGGGCUCAGUGUAUGCGGCUCGCUCUGCCAAGUUUGGGUUCGCCCCUUGGGGAGGAGUGCGGUGCAUUUAGGAAACCUAACGGGUGGCUACAGCUCCGGGGAAUCUUUGUAAAGGCUACGUAGUGAUGCCCUGCUGGGUCACCUUGGUAGUGAUCAAUGGAGAGUCAUGAUCUCUGGGCAGAAAGGGAAUCACGACUUGUGGGUAAAGUGCACAACCUCUGCAGAGCGUUUGAAAACUGAUAUAUCAGCCGUGCUCACGGUUAUGAGCGGCCAAGGGAGCUCCAGUGAUUAGUGGUACUUGAUCAGAGAUGUUCGGAUUGCAGGUGGCAAUGAGAUUGAUGGUUCUUGGUAUUGACACUGGUAAUGGUAAGUGGUACUCUUUCCAUUUGGAAAGGAGUACGUUUGGGUUAAUAACGUGGGUUAAAUCUAAAACUUGGCUUUCUCUACUAGUAAUAAUAAUCUGACCAACUAAAAGCAACUGCUUGACUUACCCCCACAUAAAAGCUAGUCCACUACAGCCAAACAGGAUACUUGCUGAGUAUGUUGAUGUGUACUCACCCUUGCUCUACACACCAAACCCCCCCCAUCCCCAGGUUGUCAGCAUUGCAACCACUGCUCAGGAGAAGAUGAAGUCGUGGAAGGAGACUUUCAGGAGUUCCAAGACUACGACGAGUUCUAGGCGUGGGUUAGCGGCAACCCCCAGUCGGCUGCCUGUGAAGGCCGCGUUUAUCUACGUUUCGUUUUCGCACUUUGAUUAUUUGUAAAGACUAUGUGGAUGUCUCAGACUUAUGAUGUAAUCGACUAUUAUUCCCUUUUUAGUACUAUUUGAGCACUGUGUGAUGAUGUCCAUGUUAUGUAACUGCUGUGUACGUGAAUUGCUGAUCCUGGCACGUACAUGGUUCGCAUUCGGUUUGCCUUCUAAAACCGGGUGUGACAUAAGUGGUAUCAAAGCCGUGCUGACUGUAGGACCGCUGACCUAGAGUAGCAUUGGCCGUUUUAAGGACUUCUUGACUGUUACUUCACCUCAUCCUUGAUUCUGCUUCAAAUUUUAGUCAUCUCGACUAAUUCUAUGUUGUGCUCCUAUAUGCCCCCUUGUCAAAAAGUAUUUUAUUCUAGCAUGGUCUAUACUUCUCUCAGUCUAUUAGAACUUACCUCACUCUUGUGCUUGCGACAUCUUUGUAGAUGCCCCCUGACCAUAGCCUUUAGUCUUUUGGGACUCUUUCCUCGUCCAUUUUUAAAUUGCUACCAUUUGACCAUCUCUAUUCCAUUUUGUUAUUGACAUGCUCGUACCCUUGCAUUUUUUUAAUACCCUUAUCCCUUAAUCUAAAAUACUUACCCUUGUACCUCUAUUGCCUAUUUAAAUAGUUCAGUUUAUGUGUCCAUGACCUUCUUGUCUUCUGAGAUCAUUUCUUAUUCUGUUGUUAAGUCGCUAUCUCUCGGUAAUUUCUGUGCCCUUGGUCUUAGUAUGCUCGUAUCCUUGGAAUCUUGCAUACUCUUAUAUUCUUAUGUAUGCUUAUUUUCAUACCCCAAUAACCGUUCAAGACAUUUCAGUUAACAUGUCCUUGACCACCCCUGUUUCUUAACAGUCCAUGAGCGAUCAUUUCAUGUCGCCCAUCCUUGGUGAUCUCGUUGUUCCUUUAUAACUUCUCUCGAUAAUGAGUUCUUACGUCAACCAUAAUAUUGCACCCUCACCUAUCUUACUGUUGAUUGUUUUCUCCACUUCGCCACUACGUGAGUCUUCCCUUAACUCUAUCAUUUGUCAUGACUUUUGUUAUUAUCACCUUCACCUUAGACAUCUCUAUAUCUUACUUGAGGUUUAUCUUAUACCGGCAUUUAAAAUCUUCUCCUUUUUCCAUCUCAAUUUGAGCAUCGUACUUUACCUACUUUUCCCUUGGUCGUAUCCUCUUCUUUGUCACCUGCGAGUUGUUAACUCUAUCCUUCGUUGUGUUUUUGAUUGUUAUUUCCUUUACCCUUCUCAUCACUCUGUCCUGCCUUGUGAUUACAUUAUGUUUGUUAUCUAAAAUCUCCAAUCUCUUAUCCUAAGUUGAGAGCAGUGUUUUACUUAUCUCACCCUUGGUAAUAUCCUCUUCUUCACCGUGUGUAAGCCUUAACAUAACUUCAUUCUUUGUUGUACUUAUACCACUAGCUCUUCAAUGCCUUCGUUUUUUUCAUGCCCUUGUAUGUUGUCGCCUCUGACCCUUGUGAUAUUUAUGUCUUCUACCUAAAUUCUUACCUUAAACUUAUCCUUUAAAAGCCUUCCCUUUCUUUCAACUCGGUUUGAGAGUUGCGGGUUACCUAUCUCUCUCUUGAUUUCUUUUCACUUCUUGUCGCCUUACAAGUUUUGUCUUAAUUCCAUCCGUUGAUGUGUUUUAUUUGCUAUCACCAUCACCUUGUCAUCCAUCCAUCUUGCGUUGACACUCAUCUUUAUUCUGGAUCCUUAAAAAUCUCCUCUCUUCCACCUCCAUUAGAUAGUGGCUGCUUAUCUAUCUGGCCCUUGGACGUACCCUCUCCUUUUCCAUUUGCAGGUCCUAUCUUAACUCCAUCAUUUAUGGUACUAAUAUCUUUUGUCUUAUGCUUAUUUACCUCCUCUCCUACAUCUUUGUCCGUUAUUACCUUCAAAACCCUUGUGAUAUCUAUGUCCUUACCCUCCUACCUAUCUCGAACAUAUCCUUUGAAGCCUCCUCUUUUCCAUCCGUGUUUGAGGAUAAUGCCUCACCUAUUCAUCAUUGACUGCUCCCCCUUCUCGACACCUUGCAAGUUUUGUCUAAAAUAAAUUUUUGGUUGGGUGUUUGUCCGUUAUCACCUUAACCCUCGUCAUCCCUUGAUCUUUACCUUGAUGCUUAUCCCGUCCCUGCAUUUUAAAGUCCCUCCCUCGUUCCAGUUCAAGAGUGUUGUCUUACCUACCUGCUCUUGGUCAUUCCCUUUUCCUCUACAGCGUUGCCAGUCAUAGCGUUUGUUUGAUAUACCCCUUACCCUUGUAAUCACUAGAUUUUGACUUGAUACCUAUCUAAGGUCUGCUUUUGGAAAUCUCCCCUUUUCUAUCUCAACCCGGGAGUGUUGUUCUACCCAUUAUGCCCUUGGUCGUAUCCUUUCGUUGAUCGCUUACAAUGCUUGCUUUAACUCCAUUCUUUAUGGUGCUCGUGUCCCUAUCCUACACGUCUUGUUCUUCUCCUUGUCCUUCAACAACCUUAGAGAGUAGUUAUUCCCUUUUCAUGAAAGACCACCAUUUAAUUAGAAGGAACAUGUAGCAACAAAAUGUUUGUUGUUGUAUGCUUGUGCUAUUUGUCUUUGUGUGAUGACUGAUUUGCUUCUUUGGAAUGAGUGUUGAUGUGUUGUGGCCCUUAAUCCGCAAUGACAUCAGUUUACUAGGUGAAUGCCAUAGAGUUAAGUAGUUGGGUUCUCCCCCUGCUCUCUCUAAUCCGUCUAUACUUACCUUUUCUCGCUACCCUUUCCUCUUGCACCUGUCCAUUUGGCAACCUCCAACUCCUCCAAAUCAGUCAAGAUCAGAGUCGGCAGCAUCUUCACCAAGUGCAUAUCGACGCUCCUGUUAAGGGGGUUAGCCGCUAACUCAAUGAAGACAAUGUGAUCAACAUCAACAAACAAGAUCAAAGUGAAGCAGCGGAAGCGUGUGUGGGUCCUAACCCACAAGUCCAAGGGAUCCUCAAGAAUUAUAUCGUCAAUCAACCUCGAGCAUCUGAAGGUCAAAGCAACCAGUCCGCAAGUUAAAGUUUCAAGAGUCAAAGUUGAGUCAGGAGAAGCUAUGAAAGACCAAUGAACCAAUCUCAUUUUCUUGCUAGCUUCUUCUUGAAUCUCGAGGGCGAGAUUCCUGUUAAGGGGGUUAGAUCUGUAACACCUGGAAUUUGGGGGUAUAAAAUUUCUUUCCUAAUACCCACCAAAUUCAGGUGUUACCCUAGCGAAACAAAACCUAGAAAGGGGGUCCUUGAUUGUUGCAUAGCAUGUCGAGGCAUGUUUUUUUCCUUUGUGAUGGUGCAUUUAUUCAAACUUAGAAAGUAUGUUUGAAUUUGAAUUCAAAACUAAAACAUGUUUUCAAAAAGAACAAAAGGAAGAAAAAAUAAAUAAAUAAAAGGAAAAACUCCCUCAUCCCCUCCUCUCUCUCGGCGGCCCAACCCCCCAGCCCAACCCAGCUCGGCUUUUUCCGGCCGGCCCACGCCGCGAGCACCCCAGCCAGCCUCACGCGCCCCGCGCCCCAAAACCCUAGCGCCGCCUCCUGCGCGCGCUCGCCCAGCUGCCCAGCACCGUGCCCAGCCGCCGCGGCGCCUCGCCCACCACUCUCUCUCUCCCUCUCCCCCCUAUUCCCCCACGACGUCGUGACUACCUCCACUACGAUCCUUCCCCUGCUUAUGGAGAUGACAGUUCCAAGCAUACUCCAACAUCUCUCUCCCUACACGCACAACUAGCCAUGGCCGCGCGGCCACUGCAACCCGUGCGAGCACACCCUGCGAUGCACGAGUGUUGCUCUGCACAACCGCUCGACGGUCGUCCCCCAGAGCUUCCCCAUGAUGCGCGUCGUGAAGCCCCUCGACGAAGACCCUAGGAACACCUGCAGGGGUCGGCCAUCGUGCACAGGUGAGAACCCACUCCUCUCUCUCCCUCGUCCCGCCGGCGUCGUCCCUCCGCUCGCGUGCCCUUUCUCGGCGCGAGCGCGUCCCUGCGCAGCGGAGCUGGGUGGCCGUGCUCCAGCCCCUCCUCCCCUCACCUAGCCCUGAGCGCGGUAGCCUCUUGCAGGCCCCCUCGCGCGGCGCCACCGCCGCGCAGCGCCCAUGCCCCUCGCGGCCAGUCCACAACGGUGCCCCGGCCAACCCCCUGGCCAGCAGCGGCGUAGCGCCCAUCCCAACAGCGAGCAACCGCCAGCCAUGCACGCCGACUCCUUGCUGCCAUUACCCCGCCCCGCGUGACGUCCAACUCCAGCUGGUGUUGCGUCGCCUUGCCGCAUGAUGCGCGUGCCGUCGUGCUCGUGAAGAAAAGCAAACCGUCCGUGUGGCCGUGUGCGAGUAUGUAGGCUAGGAGAAAAGAACGGACGUUGGGCCUCACAAACAUGCAUGUGCAGGCAGCGUUCCUCCAUGAUUUUCCUGCAUGCGUACAGAUUCUAGAGCCAAAACGAAAUUGCCGAUCCCUUGGAUAUCGUAUUUCCCUCCCCAGCCAGGCUGCAUGCCAGAGAAAUAAUCCUUAAGGAUUCUCUGUGCCCCAAAUUUGUGGCCCUAGGUGUGGCUUGUUUCGACCAAUAAAAAUGUGCCACGUCGUUAUUAAUCUGCGAUUAGUUAAAAUAUAUUAACUUUUGCGUUAGACAUCUGAAUUAAUAUGUUUCUAUUGAGUUAGCUUCGUAAUAAUAUCAUGCACACAUUAAACAUAUUAUCUUGUCAUAACGUAUGUUUGUUUUACUUAAUUGUAAGUUGGUCUGUUGGUUAUUAACAUAGCAAUUUAGUUAAAACUAUUUUAUGGUUUUAAGUUACACUUUUAUAAAUAUACGUUAAAAUGAUUAAUACCAACUCAAAUAAGUACUAAUUUAAUUAUUACCAACUUAAACGUUUGGAUUCGAUACUGGUUUAGUAUAAAUAUGUCAUCUAUUUAGUUUUUCUCGCCUGUCGCGCGUGCGGUUCUGCACUCGGUGGCGUGCUGUUUCAAGCGUCGUUCUCUCUAGUCGCGCGUACUGUCUCGUGCGUUGUUUUGCGCAGUGUCGCGCGUCCUCACACGUCAUUCUCAUGUGCCGCACAUGCCAUUUUUCGCGUGCGUCGCGCAUGCCCUUUUCGCGUCGCGCACCUUGUCGUGCGUCACCACGCGUCAUUCGCGCAUGACGCACGCGUCGUUUUUGCGUGUAGUGCACAUUGCCGCACGUUGUUCACGCAUGUCACGCGUGUCCGUGCGUCGUUCGCACGCUGUCGUGCUGUUUCGCGCGUCGUAAAUUUGCCUCACUUAGAUUCUCUCGUUUUAAUUAAAUUAUUUACUUAACUGACAUUGGUUAGUGUAGCAGAUUAAUCGAGCUAAAUGAUAGAUAUUAUUUAUAUUUGAUAACGUCGAAUUAAAUACUAUAGUUAAUACUUGUUUAGCGUAAACGCGCUAACCCCUCGACCGUAGCUCUUACUUUCGUGUUUCUUAUCCUCGCAUAACUGUAGGAGCGCUCUCUAUUUUAUAUUGCUCGCUUUUAUAACAUUUUAUCUUGUAUGGUGUAAUGUUCUUAUGUAUAUGUAUAUAUUUGUUUGCUUGUGCCUGUUCGUCUUCGCUUCGCGUUGCGAUUAGAUCGUGAUUCGUUUCUGAGCUUCGAGGAAUCGACGGUCAAGCUUCAACGACCAAAUGACCCAGUUCUUCGAGUUCCACGAGAUUGAAGACCCUGAGCAUAUGUUUGGUGAAGGCAAGUGUCCCUUGACCUAUCUCUGUCCUAUACAUUCUUUAAUUCACCUCCCGCAUUACACAGUUAUACCUAAGGAUUUACUAGCUUUUGUUAUCCAUGUCCUUGUUUACCUAUCUGGGUUGGAUUAUUAUUGUUUAGCUUUAUGCUAUUGCUCAGCUCUAAUCAAUGAACAUGAUGAGAUUUAUCAAUGAUACGUUGUUUCCCCCCCCCUUUAUUAUGAUGUUAUACUUGUGACCUUCAAGGGGGCUCGAGCGGUUUCUCGAGUGCUUCUCCGUAAGGACCUGUUCGUUGGAUGACCGCCCGGGAAAACAGUGCAACCAUGAGGGUGGAAUGGGAUGCCCUUAGCUAAAUAAUUAGAGGAACCGGGGUGUAGCUCGCUUAGCCAUCGUGCCGUCAAUGGGGCUCGGUGUAUGCGGCUCGCUCUGCCAAGUUUGGGUUCGCCCCUUUGGGAGGAGUGUGGUGCAUUUAGGAAACCUAACGGGUGGCUACAGCUCCGGGGAAUCUUUGUAAAGGCUACGUAGUGAUGCCCUGCUGGGUCACCUUGGUAGUGAUCAAUGGAGAGUCAUGAUCUCUGGGCAGAAAGGGAAUCACGACUUGUGGGUAAAGUGCACAACCUCUGUAGAGUGUCUGAAAACUGAUAUAUCAGCCGUGCUCACGGUAUGAGCGGCCAAGGGAGCUCCAGUGAUUAGUGGUACUUGAUCAGAGAUGUUCGGAUUGCAGGUGGCAAUGAGAUUGAUGGUUCUUGGUAUUAACACUGGUAAUGGUAAGUGGUACUCUUUCCAUUUGGAAAGGAGUACGUUUGGGUUAAUAACGUGGGUUAAAUCUAAAACUUGGCUUUCUCUACUAGUAAUAAUAAUCUGACCAACUAAAAGCAACUGCUUGACUUACCCCCACAUAAAAGCUAGCCCACUACAGCCAAACAGGAUACUUGCUGAGUAUGUUGAUGUGUACUCACCCUUGCUCUACACACCAAACCCCCCCAUCCCCAGGUUGUCAGCAUUGCAACCACUGCUCAGGAGAAGAUGAAGUCGUGGAAGGAGACUUUCAGGAGUUCCAAGACUACGACGAGUUCUAGGCGUGGGUUAGCGGCAACCCCCAGUCGGCUGCCUGUGAAGGCCGCGUUUAUCUACGUUUCGUUUUUGCACUUUGAUUAUUUGUAAAGACUAUGUGGAUGUCUCAGACUUAUGAUGUAAUCGACUAUUAUUCCCUUUUUAGUACUAUUUGAGCACUGUGUGAUGAUGUCCAUGUUAUGUAACUGCUGUGUACGUGAAUUGCUGAUCCUGGCACGUACAUGGUUCGCAUUCGGUUUGCCUUCUAAAACCGGGUGUGACAUCACUACAACAAAUUUGUAGAGCUAUUAAAGUAGUCCAAUUUUGAUUAAGGGAGUGAGCCCUAGAGUUGUACAAAACUGGAGUAAAAUGGCCUGCAAGUUGAGCUAUCAGUCGUGUGUUGGCCUGAAGGUUAGAUUGACAGUGGCAUCAGAUCAACUUUAGAGUUGAUAUGUGCUUGAUCAAGUGGAGGUAUGAACAAGAACCCUAUAAAAAAUUGAAGCUGGUAUGAUGGACAACAACUUUGCUAUAGAUGGCUUGGUAGAUUGUUGAAUAAAAAUCGAAGAGAAAUGACUCUCAAAUCGCUCUGUCAUGCGAGCUGAAUGAACAUCGCCAUGGUACAGUGCACUGAAGAAGAUCCUUGGUGCAGUGUACCUCACCGCCGGUGAUCGGGCACCACGAUUCGAGCUCUCCAUGAAGAUUCGUGCAUGGAUCAACGCGGAUAUUACCGGGGAAGUGAAAAGAUUGUGACUGUGGAUAAACUUGUGAGCUGCACCGUAACCACUUGCUUCGCGACCGGACGGGAUGUCAUCGUCGGCGUCCGCCGCUCGCCGCGAGGAUGCCACAUGCUUGGAGACAUUACCACGUUGCAAUAGGUCGCUGUGGACAGCCCAUUUACCGCCUGGGGCCUUACCUCACCGAGCGCCACAACAGUUGCCCUCCGAUGAGUCACCCCCUUCCGGUCGUGAGAUCAUCUCAUCCCAAAUUCGUGACAGACUCACGUAGCUACUAUAAAUUAAAGGCACUCCCUGCUCCACCUUCUGGUUAUGCACCUAGCGCACCCUUCUUUCACCUCCAAUUACCCACCAGAGCUCACAAAUUCCAAUUUCCCCCCAUCUUGGUCAUUUACGCCGCCGUGAAGCACCCAGCCGCGACCAACUGUUCCUAGGUUCGUUCAUUCCCUCUGUGCCAUGUUUUAGCAUCCUUGAAUGUUAACAUAGCUCGUCGGCCCAACCGAUUGAAUAUUACCACGAUAGAGCAUCGAGAACAUGACCUCGCCGCCGCAGAACACGUAUGAGAGCGUGCUCCCGUCGACCCACUUUCCCACACCCGCUCCGUUCAAAUUCACGCGUGUACCCGACCUCUGGUGAAUUAGUGAAACUCGCCCUAGCUCCAAUUUAAACUCUACCAUGUUUGGUUGUUCGGAACACGCUCACCGGAGCUCUAGCGUCGCCGAAGCCAUGAACAAACAUUAAUUAGGGUUGGACCAGUCCAAUUAAGUGAGGGAAAAUGCUCAGGUAGGCUCACGCUUGGUGUUCGAGUGCUUGUUGCCUCAUGGAAGGGUCGUCGUCGCCAGGAAACCACGAGUCCGGUCAUGUGUUCGAUGCGACUCCAUCGAGGACCUAGAGCCGUGAAGAAACAAAAGUCCAGGGAUCUUUGCGCAUAUGUCAGUGAGACACGUAAAUAGUACCUGGGGUUCUUUACUAGUUAUUCGAAUACCUAGGGUCCUUCACGCAAAUCUGUAAAGGGGACGAGCUCUGCGGGGGUCGUUUCCUCUACGUUCGUGGGUCGAGCCCAUUGGUUUCAGUCCACUACUAUUGAAUCUUUUUCUUUUUCUUUUUCUUGACAACUAAUAAAUUACACUAGAAAUUGUAGACAAAUGAUAAAAUUAGUUGUAAGAUUGUGUAGCCUCUGAUAAAAUUAGUUGUAAGAUUUUUGCAGCAUCAAGUAAAUUUUUAGUUAUUUAAAAGUACACUUGGGCGACUUAAAGGAAUUUUAGAAAUAAAACCAUAGGUCCAAAAAUCGUAAAUAUUUGUGGAAAAAAUAUAUACCCUUGGAAUAGCUUCUGGUAAAAAUUUGAGCCUGUUUGAAGUUGAUUUACCCAGAGAACCAGAAACUAACUAAAUAUAAGUAUUUAAAACCCUAAACUUGGAUACUAGUUUAGGGUUAGAGCAAACUUGAGUUAUACAUAGUGUUAAACAACAAAAUUGACCAACUAGAACAUAUAUAGUUCUCUGAUUUUCUAAAGAAAGAUUAAUUCGAUCCCUUUAGACAAAGGCUAUAUUACCCAGAAACAUGAGUGUAAUUGCAUAUCCUUAGUUAAGAAUAUGUGAGCCUUCCACCUCUCUCUAAAUGAAAGUUUGCAUAGCAUAUCAUUACAUGAGUAUUCAUAUACUUCUAAUUGACUUAUAGAGCACUUAGAAGAAGAAGUUGAAGUGGAAGUGGAAGAGGAGUCAGCUCCUCAAUCUGAGGUUUCUCCAACUGAACGUGCUCCGGAAGGUCUUUCAGAAGGUGCCCUAGCAGGGUUUACUGCAAUUGCAAUAUCCUAGUAGAAGAGUCUGGCUCUCCUCCUCAUCAAGGCAAGCCCCAGUGCAUUUGCCACCUCCUUAUUGUUUUAAAUCUUUUAUCACUUAUAUGUUGCAUUAGGUAGUAGGAGUUGAAUGGUUAAACCCUUGCUGCAUAACUUCCUUGAAUUAUUGAUUAUCGUCCUUGAUACUUGAUUUGAAAAGCUAGAAAUGCUUAGUAUGCUUAUAGACAAGGAACAAAAUGUUUUGAUAUAUGAAUCAUGUUUUUACAAAGAAAAAGAGACUAGAGUGAUAAUGUAUCAAAGGCCUUGAUAACUUCAUCAUUUCAGUAGGGUACCUCUGACAUGUACCAUAUUUUCAGAAAUACUUUAAUGUGAGACCAGACAUUGAGCAGGAAAGGUCGCCCGUCUGUGUCGAUUAAGGACCGCAACAAAAGUAGGCUUGCUGAUCUAGGACCUUUAACUGGCCACAUGCCUCGUCAUGGGUAAGCUUAGCCUUGACUGGACCAAUACUAGAAAGGUCGGCCCGCAAUGGGAGUGGAGAGAUGGCGAGAGUAUCGUGUAUCCACCUGGCAAGAUGCUGGAUGGUGGGGUACUGAGCUCUCGGUUGGCGGGGACCCGUUCUGGUCUUGAGAAAACCGGGUGCAAGUUGACAUAUGCAAGGUUAAGUGCUACAUAUGUUGUGUGGUUGGAGAUCCCCAGAUGGGUAUUAAUCGAUUCGGAUUACCGUUACUUCUCGGAUAUGAAGACUGGAUCACUGCCGUGCAUAGUAGUUAACAAGUGAAACUAAAGAUGCUAAAAUAAAGCUAGUGUAGCACAAGUGAAUGCUCUAUAUUAGGAAAAAUCUAGAUUCAGGAAAAAUACUUAACUUGUGAAGUAAAAGUUUGGCAUAAGGAUCCACUACUAGUGAGCUUUUCUGCAAAAAGAGUCUUUGAAAUUUGAUAAGCUUUACCUUAAUUCCCGAACAAGCCAGCAUAUCCUUGAGAGUCUUUUGUUUAGUCGGAUAAGUCUUGCUGAGUAAUUGCGUCCUCAGGGUUUUAUUCCCAUUGUUGCUGCAAGAGAGACUAUUAACACCUUUGAGUUUUGUUAAAUUCACACUGAAGGCUUUUACUUUUGUUUAUGUUUAUUAUGUGUGUACUAUGGGAAGAUGGCUUCUUCCAAGGUGUUGUAAUAAGUUAGCACUUGAAUCUACCUCGGGCAUGUAAUAAUAUUACAUACU
RNAcentral lists this long non-coding RNA (13653 nucleotides) under Zea mays. RNAcentral describes it as "long non-coding RNA (ZMAY_LNC003915)". The record is from RNAcentral. Lineage: Eukaryota; Viridiplantae; Streptophyta; Magnoliopsida; Poales; Poaceae.